RNAcentral lists this microRNA (20 nucleotides) under Panagrellus redivivus. Its description in RNAcentral is "prd-miR-7959a-3p". The record is from miRBase by way of RNAcentral. Lineage: Eukaryota; Metazoa; Nematoda; Chromadorea; Rhabditida; Panagrolaimidae.
UCUUUGCACUUAAACUUUUG